Molecule: long non-coding RNA, 5021 nt
Filed under: Olea europaea subsp. europaea
Lineage: Eukaryota; Viridiplantae; Streptophyta; Magnoliopsida; Lamiales; Oleaceae
Source: RNAcentral
UUUUCUUUUUUUCACUUUUUUCUUUCAUUUUCUUUUCAUUUUUUGGUAUUUUGGAGAAGAAUUAGAGCAACAAAAGGAGAAAACUCAAAGAAAGAGGAAGAGAUUUUGGGGAAAAUUCAAAUUUAAUCUAUGACAAUCUUCAAGAAUCCAAUCAAAAAGGGUAUUUGAAUUUUCUCCUAAAUUUUUUUAAUUAUUUUCUUCCAUUUGUUAUGUAUUGUAUGAAAUGUUUUCUUCUCUAUCAUUUAUAAAACUUGGGCUAAAUUCUUGAUGUUGGGUUUAUGAUUUAGUUUAAUCUAGCUUUUAUUAAUAUCGAUAUUUUUCUCUUUAAUGUUAAACUAUUUAUUAUUAUUAUUAUUAUUACGCUCCUCAUCAAACCACUUCGACACGUUAGUUCCACUCCUCUACGAUGUGCCACGUGUCCCUACGAAGUGGUUUCGAAGCGACAUCAACCUCACUCGAACUCCAACUUGACGGACCGCAAAACACACAUUUCACAAACUAAAUCUACUGAAGCAACCAAAACGUCCCCCUGUAACCAAGGCGUUUGGCUCUCCGAGGUGCUCCCUUAACGUAUACCUCCGCCGCCAGUUUCAGAAGUAUAUCUAUGUCAGGAUUCUCUAUAGAUGUGACAUCUCCAUGGAUCUAGUUGAUGUGACAUCAACUUUAUGUCAACUCAACUCAGGAGAAUUAGUAACCCACCCACUCUAGACGAGGCUGAUUAACGUCUACGAACAGACGUCUCACGCUGUCAGAUGUAUACACAUGUCUCAUAUCUAAUGGUGCUCCUCGUCUAUAAAUACUCAAGGUUUGGCAAUAAACAAAGGUAACAAAAAUCUCUAUAAACUUGACAGUCCACAUUCAAUUAUCAUAUAUUCUCCUUCCCACUCUCUUGUACAAUUUUGGCACCAUUUCGAUCAUCAACCACUGACUCGAUCGUCGGAGUGUAUGCGGUCGCUGCUACCCCAACUGGUUCCGACCAUGUGCUCCUGACCGUGUGUUGUUGUGAACAGGGAGGAACACAUGGAGUGGCUCUCGGUUGGCCACAUGGAAAUCCAAUUCGCGGGGUCAACAAUUAUUAUUAUUGUUGUUGUUGUUGUUGUUGCUGUUGUUGUUGCAGUUUCAUUUACAUGGUCAAUGUAUGAUUAUGCUUAGUGAUUUAUACCUAGUUCGAGAAAAGAUUAUACAUAUUAGAGCAAACAGUAGAAACCCUAGAUUCUUGUCGGGAACAGAGAUAUACCCCUUACCCUAAGUGAUCCAUUGAGCUAUUUUCACAAAAAUUUAAUGCAAUUGUUUGGUUUUAAUUGACAUAGAGAUAUAAUAGGUUAAACCAAUCAAUUAAAGUUAAUUUCGCUUGAAGAAGAAUAAUUAGCUGAACUUGAAAAAUCAGGUCUAAAAUUGUAAAUGGGUAAUUAGUUAAUUUGCUUGUUGAGAAGUAAAAUCAAGCAACAAUUUAGAGAAAUCAUGAAUCCCAACAACGUUUUCCUUCGUAAUUUCCAUGUGUUUUGGUUUCCUUAUUUUGUAGAAUUUUAGUUAUUUUCCUCAUUUUCCAAAAUCAUAUUAUCUUGUGUUCAUUUUUAUUGUUAAAAUUAUACUGAUAAAGCUGUGUAAUUUAAAGUAAAAAUUCUUCAAGGGAUCAAUAGCUCGAACUAAAAAGUUUACUUUAUUAGUUUAUUAUUUGAACGCAACCCGUGCACUUACAGUUUACAUUUUCAUAGAGAAGAAGUUUUUAGCGCCGUUGUCAAAUAAUGUUUUAACUUUGAUUAUCACUUUAGUUACUUUUAGUUUUAACAAUUUUUUCAACUUACUUUUGUUUGCUUUUAUUUUUAUAUUUUUGGCUAACCCCUAUAGUUUUAAUCUAUCUUGUAUUGGUAUUUUCUCUUCGUACUUUUUCAGAUAUUUAUGCAUGGUUCUAAUAGUGAUAAAGUAACGAAAGUUUUGUAACGGAUAAUCUCUAUAUGGGUUAUGAAGAUAUGCGAUAUCAAAGUUGUAAAAAUUGUUACACGAUGUAUGGUAUUGAGCCAUGCUUGUUCUCAUACACUAGUUUACAUACGUCGAAACUUCUUAGGUCUAGAAAAUACUUAAAAUGUCAAAAAAAAAAAAAAGCAAUUGAGAAAAAUGAUGAAAGGUACAUGCUUGUGGGAUAUUUUGUACCUUACAAUUGGGAUGAGGACAUCAAACUUGCGAGAGAUGACCUUUCUCUAUUAAAUGAGAAGAUACUUGCAAAGUAUUUUUAAAAACUUACCUUGUUGAAUGAAAGCGAUAUGCUUAUGGGGGAGAUUAUAUGUAUUGGGAAUAAUUUCAACAAUGGGGGUACAAUCCAUUUGAAGGAGUCAAUGAAACCGACUUGUCAUCGUCCGUGGAUGUAAAUUAUGGACCGCUCAUUCAAUUAGAUGAAAUAUCAAUUAUUGAAGAAGAGCUUGAAGAGAGCAAAAAAUCAAUCACGGCGGAGCUAAACGAAAAUAUAGCAAUCAAUGAAAGAGAAAAUCAACUUACAUUUUUCCCACUACAUUGAUUGCUAAGAAAUUGAUUUUAUGAUUAAACAUGUCAAGGAGAUAGAAGUCUUCAUAGUUAAAUUUGAAGUGGAUGGAUUAGGCAAGUGAUCUUAUAUGGAAAUUGCCAAUGUUGAGUUUUGGAGAUUAAACAAAACUGGAACAAAGCCAAACAAAGAAAAACGGACAAGGCAUCUAAAGCCUUCUUGAGAUGCCCGUGAUUCAAUUGACAAAGUCGAGUUAAAGACUUUGAAAAAGUGCUUAUUGGGAUGCAACCCAAUUUUUUUUUAACUUUUAAGCUUUUUUGUUUACUUGUAUGUAUUUUCAUGCGUUAAUUUAAUUAGCUAUCAUUUUUUAUAGGUAAUUUUGAAGUCCACAUAUCCAUACUUUCUAACAAGUUUUGGGGUAAAUUGUGUACAUGAAUGACACUUGUCCAAGUUUAUUAAAAGCAUAACUGAUCCAAGUAGAGCAUUGGUACCUCUUUACCAAAUUUUUGAUCGAGAAAGUUUCGUUACCCUAUCUUCUAUUUUAUCUUGUUCUUUAGACACUAAGGACAAUUUGUAAUUUAAAUUUUGGGGUGGUUGUGCUUAAAUUUGUGAUUUUGUUUUUACAUGUUAGAUAAGCCUUGCCAGCUUAGGAUUGUUUGAUGUUUAAAAUAGUUAUUGAUUCAUGAGUUAUGUAUGACUAAAUAUGCUAUUUGUGCUUGAACUUUCUGAAAAAUUUUGUUUGUUCAUGUAAGAUUUCAAGUUAAUUAUUAUAAAGAUGUGGAAAAUUUUGAUUGAUGGAGAGAUUUUUUAUUUGGUAGAACUAGGUUUGAGUUGUAUUUAAAUGUCUAUCAAUCCUAUAGUAUCUGCUCUUUCACUUAAUCUUGUUGUGAGAUAAACUUGGGGUGAUCGAGUUAGUGAAGGAUAUUUCUAGAAAGUGUUGAUUCCGUGCAUGUUUAAAAAAAAAAUUGUGUGGAACGUCUUUUUCUAACAAGUAUAAACUAGGUAAGGACCAUACGCUAGGGAUCUAAGUCUCAUCUGUUAAGUCGUGAUUAAAAGAAUGAUAUUGCUCUUAUUGAAUCUUAAAUCUCAUUUCAUAGCCUUUUUUACUCAAGUAGGUUUGAAUUACUUAGUAGAAACUUUAAUGUGGAAGCACUCAUUAGUAGAGAAUCAUCAUAUGUCUAGAUGUUGAGAUUGUCGGAAAAGAAAUGAAUAACCUUUAGAUUUACACCUGGGGAAAGAAAAUGAAUUUCUAUUUGAGUUUGUGAAUCUCACGAGUGGGAAAGGAAACAUUUGGCCACUAAGGGUUGAGUUUGAACUAAUUUGAAAUUUUUUCCAUCUUAACAAUUUUUUCCUAAUUUAGAUAAUGAUUGAAAAUGACUAUGCAUACCCACACACACUGAUCGAACAUUGGAUAAGCUUAAAUUAUUUUUGUUAUUAUUAUUUGGAGCAUAUUUGUGAAUUGAUUAUUCUAUUUUAUACUUAGAUAAUUUGCAAGUUAUCUAAUGUGUUGAUUGUUGUAAAUUGUUGCUUGAUUGUGUUGUAGAUAAUCUUGCUCAGGAUGAACAAAAGCUCAAGUUUGUAAGUAUUGAUAAGUAUGUUUUUACAUACUUAUUUAAUAUCUAAAUAAUCUUAAACAUUGAUUAAAGGAGCAAGUUUCUACUUACAAUUAUGUAAUUAUUAUUUUUGUAGGUAAAAAUCAUCUAAAGAAAUAUAACAAGACAAAAGGAAGUGAAAAUGGACUAAAAGUGUACAAAAUUGUGACAUGUUGUAUGCCAUAGUUGUCGCGAGAAAGGUCACUUCUUUGCGGAAUGCUCGAAAAAACAUCACUACCCUUGGUGUAAAAUUGGGUUUGUGAAGUGCUUUGAGGUCGAGAAGGAGACGGAAAACAAGGGAAAAUUGUUCAAUUGUUGCAGUGCUAAAUGUAAAUAUUGUGAAUAGGUCGAGAAAGGAGAAACAAGGGGGUCAAGUGGUGUUAAAAUGAACGUGAAUAAUCCUGCAACAGUGGCUGAAGAAGAUCAAGAGUUUGCUCGUAUGUUCCAAACUCGUUGUCGGGUUACCGAAGACGAAAAGUUUGAGAUUCAAGUGACUGUGACAAUUCGCAAGGUCAACGAAAGUGCUGAACUGGAUAAGAAAGGGAAGGGAAAACUUGAGUAAUAGUUGUGUUAUCAUUAGUUUCGCUUCCUGGUACUUAUGAUGUGUAGUAUGUGUUCUUGUAGGUGUAGAGUGUUAUGUUAUGUGUAGUUGGAGUGCAGUUGGGUGGCUAUAAAAUUGAGGACAAAAUGCUACUCUGGGGAAUUAUGAGUCCUAAAUUUGUGUUCUUCACUUUUGUAUGUAGGAAGACACUGUAAAUUCAUUCACUAAUGUUAAUAUGACUUCAUUAUUAGUCCUUCAUUUGUUGGUGUUAAUUUUGGUGGCUGUGAAUGUGAAGUGGCUGUGAAUGCAGGGAGAAUUUUGGUGGUUGUGAAUGUGAAGUAGCUGUGAAUGCAGGGAGAAUUUGUCUCCAGUUUUCAAUUAACAUCAACCCAGGCAAAGUGGCGAACUAAAU